AUUGAACGCUGGCGGCAGGCCUAACACAUGCAAGUCGAGCGGAUGAACGGAGCUUGCUCCUGGAUUCAGCGGCGGACGGGUGAGUAAUGCCUAGGAAUCUGCCUGGCAGUGGGGGAUAACGUCCGGAAACGGGCGCUAAUACUGCAUACGUCCUGAGGGUGAAAGAGGGGGGGCUUCGGACAUCACGCUAUCAGAUGAGCCUAGGUCGGAUUAGCUAGUUGGUGGGGUAAAGGCCUACCUAGGCGACGAUCCGUAACUGGACUGAGAGGAUGAUCAGUCACAUUGGAACUGAGACAGGGUCCAGGCUCCUGCGAGACGCAGCAGUGGGGAACAUUGGGCAGUAGUCGGAAGCCUUGUACAGCGAUGGCGCGUGUGUGAAGAAGGUGUUCGGAUUGUGAAGCCCGUUAAGUUGGGAGAAAGCGCAGUAAGUUAUGACCUUGCUGGUUUGACGGUACCAACAGAAGAAGCACCGGCUAACUACGUG
Molecule: ribosomal RNA, 484 nt
Filed under: uncultured bacterium
Lineage: Bacteria
Description: partial 16S ribosomal RNA
Rfam family: Bacterial small subunit ribosomal RNA
Source: RNAcentral